This 252-nucleotide unclassified non-coding RNA is filed under the name plant metagenome. RNAcentral's name for it is "partial contains small subunit ribosomal RNA, internal transcribed spacer 1, and 5.8S ribosomal RNA". The stretch from base 1 to 55 matches the Rfam family "Eukaryotic small subunit ribosomal RNA", at positions 1777 to 1831 of the family's 1831-position model. The record is from RNAcentral.
GGAAAGUAAAAGUCGUAACAAGGUCUCCGUAGGUGAACCUGCGGAGGGAUCAUUACAGAGUUCUCGCCCUCGCGGGUAGAUCUCCCACCCACUGUUAUCGUUACUGUGUUGCUUUGGCGGGCCGCCGGGCCCCGCUCGGCCGCCGGCUCCGGCUGGCGCGCGCCCGCCAGAGGCCCAGCAAACUCUGAAUGUUAGUGUCGUCUGAGUACUAUAUAAUAGUUAAAACUUUCAACAACGGAUCUCUUGGUUCUG